Molecule: ribosomal RNA, 504 nt
Filed under: uncultured bacterium
Lineage: Bacteria
Description: partial 16S ribosomal RNA
Rfam family: Bacterial small subunit ribosomal RNA
Source: RNAcentral
AUUGAACGCUGGCGGCAGGCCUAACACAUGCAAGUCGAACGGUAGCACAGAGAGCUUGCUCUCGGGUGACGAGUGGCGGACGGGUGAGUAAUGUCUGGGAAACUGCCCGAUGGAGGGGGAUAACUACUGGAAACGGUAGCUAAUACCGCAUAACGUCGCAAGACCAAAGUGGGGGACCUUCGGGCCUCACACCAUCGGAUGUGCCCAGAUGGGAUUAGCUAGUAGGUGGGGUAAUGGCUCACCUAGGCGACGAUCCCUAGCUGGUCUGAGAGGAGGACCAGCCACACUGGAACUGAGACACGGUCCAAACUCCUACGGUAGGCAGCAGUGGGGAAUAUUGCACAAUGGGCGCAAGCCUGAUGCAGCCAUGCCGCGUGUAUGAAGAAGGCCUUCGGGUUGUAAAGUACUUUCAGCGGGGAGGAAGGCGGUGAAGUUAAUAGCUUCACCGAUUGACGUUACCCGCAGAAGAAGCACCGGCUAACUCCGUGCCAGCCGCCGCCGUAA